UAAACUCAAAUGCCUGCAGGAGCUGGAUGGA
RNAcentral lists this non-coding RNA (31 nucleotides) under Homo sapiens (human). Lineage: Eukaryota; Metazoa; Chordata; Mammalia; Primates; Hominidae. The record is from RNAcentral.